CUUUAAAGAUUCCUUUUUAAAACUAAUGUUAUUGUUAUUAUCCUUGCCUCAAUAUUUUGGCAGUUAAUGCAAAAGUGAGAAUUUUUGCUCAUUUGUCUGUUUAAAAUGCUUUCCUAGUUCUGAGAAAUAAUUAUAAUACGAGUUAAUAAUAUGCUUUUCUAGAGUUAGGAAAACCCUCAAAUUGUCAAAUCUGAAUGAACUGUCUCCAUGGAAAUUUAAAGAUAAAGCAAAAUAUGUAGGACCAAUCUGAAAAAAAAAAAACAAUUUUUAAUAAAGAUAAAGUAAGUUUAUGCAGAAUAAGAGGUAAGAUUUCCAAUACCUCUACUGUUCCUCCUCUCACUUUUUUUUUCCCCCUCCUUCCUUACUUUGGGACUAUCAUUUGCCAGAAGUGAUUACCAAAGACAAAAAAAAAAAAAAAAAGGUUUUCUCCUGUAUUUCAAGUUCUUGUUAGCACAGAGGUCUGGAAUGUUAAUUACAGAACUCAAUUAUCUCAAGUUAAAAUUCUAUUAACCAUGCAGGAAAGAAAUGGAGUUGUCAAGGUAAAAUGAGCUAAGCGAAGUGAAGAGUGGAUGGGCUACGGUCAUAGGAUGGAUACAGUGAGUAAUGGAUUUUCUGUUAACAGAUUUCCUGAGAGAUAGCUACUUCGUUUCCAUCUGCCUGGGGAUUUCAAGUCCUACCUUUCCUAGUCUCUAUAGAAAAAUCAAUAUAAGCAAUUUGUUAUAGAAGGAAGAAAGUCAUUCAACAUGAGUAAAGGCAUUCAACAUGAGCUACAUCUAGUCUAGGGAGACCCACUGCCUCUGUGUGGGACAGACAGAACAAGAAGGGUUUUGGUCAGCUAGGAGUUAAGCAGCUCACCUUCUCCUGACGAUUAUGUCUGCAAUGGUG
This 885-nucleotide long non-coding RNA is filed under the name Zonotrichia albicollis (white-throated sparrow). RNAcentral's name for it is "lncRNA (ENSZALG00000009896.1)". Lineage: Eukaryota; Metazoa; Chordata; Aves; Passeriformes; Passerellidae. The record is from RNAcentral.